AAUCAGCAAAAGCUAUUAGUAAGCCUGCCUUAUGUUAAUUGGAUAAUAUCCAAUGGUUGUGCAGCUGUAUUUUCUUAGCAGUGUGUGCCUCUCAGAGCCACUAAAAUCUAAAUGAAGUGUAUUUGUCAUACUGCAGUCCUAUAGGAUUAAUAGAAUUUGGGUUCAUUUGAGCUGAUGUAUUCCAGCAAUAUUAAGUUACCAAUGUUUGUUUUAUUGUCCUUUGUUCUUUUUUCCCCCUAGCUUUGUAAGCCUCAUAUCUAAUUUUUUUGGAAACUCAGCUGAGAUAUGACAAGUAUUUCUGGCCAAUGUUACUAGUUCUGGCAGAUUUGAAAAGUUCUUGGCAGCCUUUAUAGAUGAACUAUGAAAUCUUUUUUAAAUGUUUGCAAAUCAUUUGUAUCCCUAAUAAAUGGAAGAAGGGAGUCAGCCACAGAAAUAACGAGGGAUGGCAUGUUUAUAGUAAGAGAAAAGCUGUAAUAUUCCUCGAAAACGAGG
Pelodiscus sinensis (Chinese soft-shelled turtle) is the source of this 492-nucleotide non-coding RNA. The record is from RefSeq and is a predicted model, not a curated record. NCBI's taxonomy places the organism in Eukaryota, Metazoa, Chordata, Testudines, Trionychidae.